Rattus norvegicus (Norway rat) is the source of this 2022-nucleotide RNA transcript. It is a transcript of the gene named survival motor neuron domain containing 1, with no coding region annotated. Lineage: Eukaryota; Metazoa; Chordata; Mammalia; Rodentia; Muridae. The transcript is spliced from 6 exons. The record is from RefSeq and is marked validated.
GAUCUCGCUCGCCUUGUCUUUUCUUCCUGCCUGAGCCCGGCUUUUCUCCCCUCCCCCCUCGCCGGCGGAUUUUUUCCUUUUCCGACCGAAUCUCGUCGUGGUGGAAAUUUCCCCUGCUGUAGCUGUCCCUGCCGCCGCUCGGCUCGCUUCCCCGACCCCUGCCCGCUGUCCCAUCCCCAGUCCCACCCAAGAUGUCAGAGGAUCUAGCAAAACAGUUGGCCAGCUACAAAGCUCAACUCCAGCAAGUAGAAGCUGCUCUAUCGGGAAAUGGAGAAAAUGAAGAUCUGCUGAAACUGAAGAAGGAUUUGCAAGAAGUCAUAGAACUGACCAAAGACCUUCUGUCAACUCAGCCUUCGGAAACUCUCACAAGUUCAGACAGCUUUGCUUCUACUCAGCCCACUCAUUCAUGGAAAGUAGGGGACAAGUGCAUGGCCGUCUGGAGUGAAGAUGGACACCAUGAUAUCUUUACAGGUGUUAUGAGGCGGAGAUCGAGGAGAUCGAUGAAGAGAACGGCACCGCUGCGAUCACCUUCGCUGUCUAUGGCAAUGCCGAAGUGACUCCAUUGUUGAACCUCAAGCCUGUAGAGGAAGGAAGGAAAGCAAAAGAGGACAGCGGCAACAAACCCAUGUCAAAAAAAGAAAUGAUUGCCCAGCAGCGUGAAUAUAAAAAGAAAAAAGCUUUGAAAAAAGCACAGAGAAUAAAAGAGCUUGAGCAGGAGCGAGAGGACCAGAAGGUGAAAUGGCAGCAGUUCAACAACAGGGCGUACUCGAAAAACAAGAAAGGCCAGGUAAAGAGGAGUAUUUUUGCUUCGCCAGAAAGUGUAACGGGCAAAGUCGGAGUAGGAACUUGUGGAAUUGCUGACAAGCCCAUGACACAGUAUCAAGAUACAUCCAAAUACAAUGUCAGGCAUUUGAUGCCUCAGUAGUGAGAAACUGUUGGAUUUCAUCUCCGCAGGGCUUUACAUUUACCUUUUUAUCCUUAUAUUUUUCUAAAGGUAAAUUAUUUGUUAGAUGAGUAAGGGAGAUCCGUUGUUGUCAUUGUUUGGCUUUGGUAGGAUGAAACUUGAAGACAUUUGAUAACUGCUACCAUGUAACUUUUCAUUGCUACUCACCACAGCUUCUUCAGUAUGUUGAACAAGGCAACUUUUCUAGCUAAGUGCUGCAUAAGUCGGCACGUAGAUGACUUAGGAACGUCAGGCCACUUAACUGAUGUUGUGUGGACAGUUUGUAAGUCCUAACUUGGGAUUUUCAGAUGCUUUGCACUUGAUAUAUUCCAACAGUGCAGUGGAAGGGACAUCAAGGCAAAACGCCAGCCUGCUGAAGAGAGCGGCUUCCGUUUUACAACCUGGCACUGUCCAGACGAGCCCGAGUAUAGGUUAAUUUAUAAAUGGCAAAGUUUAUUUUGAGGUUUUUUUCCUUGAAUUGUUUCCUGGGACUAUUAGGUCACCUCUACAAUUGACUCACCUUGUAUUUUUUGUCAUUGAGUUUGAAUUUUAUAUUAAAAAACCAAACAAACCAUGUUUAGGAUGUGCUCCCCUUCUCUGUUUAUUUGGUGUUUUCCUUUGUUGACUUCACUUGUGGUAGUGCUACCCGUUUUGGGAUGUGUAAUGUUUAUAUGGGAAGACAAAGCUGAUGUACAGCCCUGUAUACAGUGUAGAUACUAUUUUUGUAAAAAACAGAACAAAACCAAAAAAAAAAAAAAAAAAAACAAAUCCAAGGCUAAAUUAAUGAACAAGAGUACUGAAUGUCUUCAUGAUUACAUUUUCCUGUAUUUCUUGUGCAUUAAUCUGACCAUAACUUCCCUGUAUAUUAUGUUCAUGUAGCUGAGUUUGUAAUUUUUAUUAACGAGAUCAAGUUGCCAGCAUUUGUUGGCAUAAGUGAAGCACCACAGCUAUCCCAAGUUGAGUUUAAACAAAACAAAGGUAGGGAAAAGGCCUUCCUGUUAAUUGGAAGAAGAUACUUUUUAGAGUGUGUGUUAAUUUCAGUUUUGUAUGUUUAACUUUAAUAAAUAAAGUCUGUACAA